AUAUGGUUACAUGCGCAAUUGUUAUUAACCCGCAGCCUGGCCGGUGCUUGCGAGGUAAAUUGCUCAGUAAUCUAACUUCGAGCAUAAUUUCCAGAUAGUUCAUCUUGAUAAGUUGGUUUAUAUCAAAGUUGGUUUAGCAAGAUAAUUAUUGUUUCUUAUGAGAACAAAGUUAUAUGAAUCAGUUUGAGAUACGUUGUAUACGAGAGUAUAUUCUCCCCUCACAAGUGGUUCAGGGUCAGGAACCAAAUAAUUUCAUCUUAUUAUUAAUGUGCUGUGUAUAUUGACANN
Molecule: long non-coding RNA, 288 nt
Filed under: Nicotiana benthamiana
Lineage: Eukaryota; Viridiplantae; Streptophyta; Magnoliopsida; Solanales; Solanaceae
Description: long non-coding RNA (NBEN_LNC005721)
Source: RNAcentral